UACGGAGGGGGCGAGCGUUGUCCGGAAUCACUGGGCGUAAAGGGCGCGUAGGUGGCGUCGCAAGUCAACGGUGAAAGCUCGACGCUCAACGUCGAGUCGGCCGUCGAGACUGCGAGGCUUGAGCACUGUAGAGGCAGAUGGAAUUCCGGGUGUAGCGGUGGAAUGCGUAGAGAUCCGGAGGAAUACCGGUGGCGAAGGCGGCAUCCUGGACCGGCAUUGACGCUGAGGAGCGAAAGCUAGGGGAGCAAACAGG
Molecule: ribosomal RNA, 253 nt
Filed under: uncultured bacterium
Lineage: Bacteria
Description: partial 16S ribosomal RNA
Rfam family: Bacterial small subunit ribosomal RNA
Source: RNAcentral